GAGUUCAAAGAAUCCAAUUUCAAGGGAAAAAAAAAAUUAGCUCCAGGAGAUGUGUUUUCGACGAUAGCCAGUGAAAAAGAAAAAUGAUGGAUGAAGAGACUUGGCCCAAGAAGUUGUGCAAAAAAGUUGACGGAUACACGUGGAAAAUGAUACAGUACGUUUCAUUUGAAUGGAUGCAAUGUGUUUCAUACGAUGCAUUUCACUCACUUUUCCAUUUUUAGUUUCUCUCCUCCAUCUCUCUCUUCCAUUCUCCUCCAUGUUAUGAAUCCUCCACCUCUGAAGCUGAACCCGAUAUGGGUUUAUAAACCCUAACCUCCGCCAUCUCCCUUCUCUGUGUCGCAAUCCGAGAUGGGUUUCUUAACAUUUUUAUAACUGUUCGACGGGCACAAACUCCCCUUUUCAUCAAUCCCACCACGUGGGAUCAACCCUUCAUGUCACGAUGGCCCUAAUCAUGGGUUGGGAAAUUCAUGAAAAUGAGAUAAUGCUUCUUGUUCUUCUCAAGGGUUUUCUAGAUUUUUAAUCCAUUUGUUGGGAACUUAAAGGUGGUGGUGUACUUGAACAGUUCUCAAGGAGGAACGUUUUCUGGUAAUUUCUCCUAUUUUUGUUUCAUGAGUCUAAUCCCUUUGAUGAAUUCUAAAAAAUAAUACACCUUCCUGCUGGAGGAUGCCUUUGAUUUUUGUAUAUUAGGUGAGAUUUUGUUGCAUUCUCAAAUGGUUUGUUUGCUGUGAAAAUGAAAUUGUUGGAUUCAAAAUUAUUUCUCCUCUGGAUGACAUGGUUUAAUCCUCAAUGAAAUUGUUUGCUAGGUUGAUUUGUUAUAUCAUAUUCAAGAUCAUUCUUGAAAGACUAAAUUGGGUAAUUUAAUUAUUCAAUCCUAUGAUCCUUCUGUUGAUAAUUUUUAGGGAGCUAAACACUGUUCCAUCUAGUUUAAAGGAUUAUGUCUUCAUGCUCUAUGGUCACCAUAUCUAAAAACUUAUAACUAGUCAUAACCCCUUGUCCAUUGUCUCUCUAGUUGUCUAUAUAUGUAGUAAUAAUAUGAGCGAUUAAAAAGGCUAUUCUUACAAGAAAUAAUCGAACUCUUGGCUUUUAGAAGAGCAGUGAUCUUAAAGCACUGUUUUGAUAAAGUGUUACUUUUAAUGAAGUUUAACUCAAUGAUAGAAUUCUAUGGGCUUAGAUAUGGGGCAGACGACAAAAUACUUUUGAAUCUGUAGCUGUCAUUAAGGAUUAAUGUCACUGGGCUUAGACAUGGUUUGUUCACUAGGAAAAUGAAAUUUCUGGGAAGAUGAAAUUGUUGUAUUCAAAAAUAUUUUAAACAUGAAAUGCAAGGCUCAAGCAUUUCUCAUUGUAUAUGAACACUUUUUUAAAUCUAUAUUUGUAAUUCCUUGUGACAUGUUUAAAAUGACAUCGUUAGUUUCUACAUCUUCUCUUGUUAAUCGUUUGAGGAGGGACGACCCAAGGUGCAUGUGCGGUGAGAAAGCUCCACUUAGAAUAUCAAUACUCCAAGAACUCCAGGACGAUCAUUCUUUGAUUGUCCAGAGUACAAUACCUUGGGAUUACCACACUGCAACUAUUUUAAAUGAGUAGAUAGUAGUGAAGACUGAGAAAAAGAAUUGGUAAAGAUAGAAGUUGACUUGCAUCGGAAAGAUGAAGAGUUUCAAAAAAAAGGGGAAGAAAUUGUGAAGAGGAAGUUGAAAGUCCACAACAAAAAAGUUGAAAUUGAAAUACAACAAGCAGGUAUACGGCGUGAACACACAAUUUCGUGUUGAUUGGGUUAUUACCAUAUUAAUAACUAUGUACUUGAUACUAUCAAAAUGAAGCCCCAUUUAAUGGGAACUUUGUACAUUGUAUGUUAGGGACUAUUUGGAAUGUUGUGUAUUAUGGAACUAUUUGGAAUGUUGUUCUGUACUAUGAGAAUAUGUUACUGGACACAGUUUGAUUUCUGUGGACUUAGACCGUGGUUGUGCUCA
This is a long non-coding RNA of Carya illinoinensis, 1964 nucleotides long. RefSeq lists it as uncharacterized. The record is from RefSeq and is a predicted model, not a curated record. The transcript has 3 exons. Lineage: Eukaryota; Viridiplantae; Streptophyta; Magnoliopsida; Fagales; Juglandaceae.